AAAUUGAAGAGUUUGAUCAUGGCUCAGAUUGAACGCUGGCGGCAGGCCUAACACAUGCAAGUCGAACGGUAACAGGAAGCAGCUUGCUGCUUCGCUGACGAGUGGCGGACGGGUGAGUAAUGUCUGGGAAACUGCCCGAUGGAGGGGGAUAACUACUGGAAACGGUAGCUAAUACCGCAUAACGUCGCAAGACCAAAGAGGGGGACCUUCGGGCCUCUUGCCAUCGGAUGUGCCCAGAUGGGAUUAGCUAGUAGGUGGGGUAACGGCUCACCUAGGCGACGAUCCCUAGCUGGUCUGAGAGGAUGACCAGCCACACUG
This 318-nucleotide ribosomal RNA is filed under the name Citrobacter amalonaticus. Its description in RNAcentral is "bacterial SSU rRNA". It matches the Rfam family "Bacterial small subunit ribosomal RNA", at positions 1 to 315 of the family's 1533-position model. Lineage: Bacteria; Pseudomonadati; Pseudomonadota; Gammaproteobacteria; Enterobacterales; Enterobacteriaceae. The record is from RNAcentral.